Molecule: unclassified non-coding RNA, 936 nt
Filed under: Hevea brasiliensis (rubber tree)
Lineage: Eukaryota; Viridiplantae; Streptophyta; Magnoliopsida; Malpighiales; Euphorbiaceae
Source: RNAcentral
AUUAGCACAAAGGAAAAUUUUUAGGUAAUACAAAGCGGUAAUGAAGAAGUUCCAUCUUUAUAUGAAGAGCACAAAACGGCUUCCUCGACAAGAACAUCAGAGUAGAAAAGAGUUGCAGGAAAACUAAUAUCUGCUGCAAAAGGUUGACUGCAUCAAAACUUAAAAGACGCAUAUUCAAGAUAUAUGAUUAUACUGAUUCUACUACAUCCACAAAAUGAAAUAUUAGCGGCAUAUUCCUGUACAGCAGCGAAAGAAACACCACUCUCACAAAGCACGGCAUACUUUUGGUUAGUUAAGUUUUGUGUAUGUGUAGAUGUCUAUGAACACUCCUGUCGAUUUCUUCGUUUUGGUAAUUUCUUGGAAAAAUAUUCACUAAAUGGCUUCUCAGGGACAGGUAUCAACUUGCCAAGAACAGCAAGGGGCCAGCUUAUUACUCCAAUGACAAUGGAAACUAGCCAUAAUUGCCAACUCAAUCUCACAGUUGAAGUGAAUUUUCCAAGGAAGAAUAUUAUGAUAACCUGAAGCACCACUGUGAGGCCGACGAUUGAAACAAAUAGACGGUUUUUGAGGACUCCUUUGAACACAUUCAUCUCAUCUGGCUUCCGAGCAUUGAAUUCAUUGAAUACUUGGCAGAAGACAAAAGCAUUGAAAAUCAAGGUGUUCUUCACUUCAAUAGCCCGAGCACUCGUCUCAUGAUCCAAAUGCAGAAUUUGUUUACCUCGGAAAUUGAGGACCAGGAGAACUGAAACUUGAUACAGAGCCUGUAUUAAUAGGUUUCUCCACAUGAUAUUGGUGACUAGAGGUUCCCUUCGACCAACAGGUUCUCGGUGCAUAAGGUGAUCAGUUGGUGGUUCUGUGGCCAGUGCAAGCGCCCCCAAGGUGUCCAUAAUAAGGUUUACCCAAAGUAGCUGAACAGCAUUCAAUGGGACAUCACCA